GGUCUCCUUCUAUGGUAGAGUGCAAGGAGAAACCCCUCUUGCAGCCAGUGGGAAGAGACAAAGAACAAAAACUGGAGGAAAGUCGUCAUGGCUGCCAGGAGCUGUUGGCUGUCAUGUUUUCCUGCCUCUUACAUUG
Small nucleolar RNA from Callipepla squamata (scaled quail), 136 nucleotides. The record is from Rfam. Lineage: Eukaryota; Metazoa; Chordata; Aves; Galliformes; Odontophoridae.